This 733-nucleotide long non-coding RNA is filed under the name Homo sapiens (human). RNAcentral's name for it is "HSALNT0073431". The record is from RNAcentral. Lineage: Eukaryota; Metazoa; Chordata; Mammalia; Primates; Hominidae.
GAGAAGACUAAUCAGAUGGCUGCUACCAUUAAACAACUUGAACAAAGUGAAAAGGAUUUGGUGAAACAGGCAAAGACCUUAAAUAGUGCAGCAAAUAAACUGAUCCCAAAACAUCAUUAGGCAUUUUUAAGUUGGUCACGUCGCAAGUCCGAUAUCACAACUUAAUUGUAAAAGGAAGAAAUCUGAAAGUUACUACAUUUAAGCUCUGAUUCUAUAUAAAAUGUCACCAAAAAGUUGACUUUGAAUUUGUUGGACUUUUAAAAAACCAGUUGGAAAUAUAGGUUGGGUUUUUUUCUUAUUGUUUUCUCCCCAGGGUUAGAAAAAUUGGUAUAAGUUCCUAAUUAAAAGCUGAAUAAACUUUGAGAAAUUAUUUCUGAGUUGACCAAUAAAUAAAAAUACCACUUUCUUUAAAAAAGCCUAGGGAAUUGAAGCUCUGUACAUAUACUAAUGAUGCCUUUACAACCCAGUCCUUGAUAAUACCAGAUUCUCGGUGCAUUGUUCAUGUCUGUAUCUGCAAGCCUGUUCUGCCAUUGCAGUGUGAUGAACCUAGAGGUAACUACCAUGUGAACUUGAACUCUUCUAAAAUAGUUCUGUGUCUCUUAGACCAUGACCCCUUUUCACUUUUGUUAUAUAGGUUUAAUCCCCAAGCCAAGGAUAGUACUUAGUAUUUCACUACACUUCUAUUCUCAGUAACCAAGAUUGCUUGCAACUUUUUUUGCCUUGGUGACUUUUG